CAGUCGCCACGGGAAAACGUAGGUGGCAAGCGUUGUCCGGAAUUAUUGGGCGUAAAGCGCGCGCAGGCGGAUCAGUUAGUCUGUCUUAAAAGUUCGGGGCUUAACCCCGUGAGGGGAUGGAAACUUCUGAUCUAGAGUAUCGGAGAGGAAAGUGGAAUUCCUAGUGUAGCGGUGAAAUGCGUAGAUAUUAGGAAGAACACCAGUGGCGAAGGCGACUUUCUGGACGAAAACUGACGCUGAGGCGCGAAAGCCAGGGGAGCGAACGGGAUUAGAUACCCCAGUAGUCCCUGUCUCUUAUACA
RNAcentral lists this ribosomal RNA (301 nucleotides) under uncultured bacterium. RNAcentral describes it as "partial 16S ribosomal RNA". It matches the Rfam family "Bacterial small subunit ribosomal RNA", at positions 509 to 809 of the family's 1533-position model. The record is from RNAcentral.